AUUAUUAGUGUGAAUGCUUGAAAAGCAUUCACAGUAUUGUUCUUCUAAUCUUUAUUAUUAGUGUGAAUGCUUGAAAAGCAUUCACAGUAUUGUUCUUCUAAUCUUUAUUAUUCUAUUUUAUUAUCUAUUCCGUACGUUUUUUGUACUCCUACUCCUUCAAAACCGUUCAACUUAGAAAAACCAUUCAAACACCGUUAGAUUCCUAUUCUUUUGGACAUGACUGCUUCUACUUUUCUCAUUUUUAACAUUUAUAUUUUUAAUUUUAUUCAACUUUAUUCAACAAAAAUUUCCCAUGUAUUUCAAUGGGGAGACCCUUCAAAUUCUCAUUCAACUUACUCAUUUUUAAACUCUUACUACUUCCACAUACGUUGACAUAGAGCCACCAUUCAAACUUUAAAACGAAGACAAGACAUUCAACUAUUCAACUUGUAUUUAUCUUUUCAAUAUCUAUUAUACUUUUUCUUCAGUUCCAGUUUAAGUUUCAUGAUGUUUUUUCACCCGUUUCAGAGUUUAUAAUGG
Long non-coding RNA from Haplochromis burtoni (Burton's mouthbrooder), 519 nucleotides. RefSeq lists it as uncharacterized. The record is from RefSeq and is a predicted model, not a curated record. The transcript has 2 exons. Lineage: Eukaryota; Metazoa; Chordata; Actinopteri; Cichliformes; Cichlidae.